This 2673-nucleotide unclassified non-coding RNA is filed under the name Leishmania donovani. RNAcentral's name for it is "gene:LdHU3.26.0630(CDS-product:Leucine_rich_repea t/Leucine_Rich_Repeat/Leucine_Rich_repeat_putative)". Lineage: Eukaryota; Euglenozoa; Kinetoplastea; Trypanosomatida; Trypanosomatidae. The record is from RNAcentral.
ACGCUCAGUACGCGCUCGAGGUCUCAGUCAGUUUCGCACCCACACGUCCAUCGGCCUCUGCGAGUUUUACCACCGCUGGCACUGCACAAAUAGCUCGAAGGGUGACGUCAUUGAUUGAGGACAGAGACACACAUCUUCAUAGGAGGUGGUGCUUGAACUUUCUAUUUUCCCCUCUCCCCCGGCAUGUCGGCCAAGGCGAUGCAAGCCUCAUCCGGCAUAUCGCCGUCUACCGGCGGCAUCAUCCCUGCCGCUGUGCCGGCUUCUGAGGGCGCCAAGUCACAGGCAUCCUUCGCGGUCAUUGGCAGCAGCGUCAGCGAUGGACGCCGCCGCAUGCAGAUUCCGUGGCGGCAGAUCUCGAAUCAGCAGCUCGACAGCAUCUGCCGUGCUCUGCUGGAUCGCGAGUUCGACACCCCUAUCCACACCAUCGACCUCAUGGAUAACCAACUGGGGCCUACAGGGGCGGUGAAGAUUGCCUCCUGCCUCGAAUCCUCACCGGUGACGGAGGUGUUUAUCUGCUACAACGACAUUGGCAAGGAGGGGUGCGACGGGCUGGCUGGGGUGGUGAACCUGUCACACAGCUUGCAGGUUCUCGAUAUCCGCGGUAAUCACCUAUCCGCGAGCGACGUGCAUCGCCUGCUGCGCUCCGUCUCCAUGUCCACGGCGCUUUCGCGGCUGGGAUUGGCAUCGAACAGGCUAGGCCCUGAGGGGGCGGCGCUCGCCGCGAAGGCGCUGGAGCGCAACACGUACCUGUCCUCGCUGGACCUCUCCGUGAACGAGCUGGGCCCGAGUGGUGCGGAGUGUCUUGCCGGCAUCCUACGCAAUUCUGUAUCGGCGCUGCGGGUUCUGCAGCUGCAUGGCAACUAUCUUGGUCCAACGGGCGUGAUAGCCAUCUGCGAUGCCGUGAGGACGAACAAGGAACUCAGACGGUUGACACUGGGGAACAACCACGCCACAGACGAGGCCGCCGGCGCCGUUGCCGCGAUGCUCGAGGCCAAUGACACCCUCGAGGAACUCGACAUCCGCCUGAACACGCUCACGGCAAACGGUGUAAGGACGAUUGUGCAGCAGGGUCUUGCCAAGAACACCUCCCUCGCUGUGCUGUCGCUCUCCGGAAACGAGGUUGGCCCGGUGGGAGCGAACGAGCUCACGCAGGUUCUCACUUCUCACCAGCGCAGCGUUCUAGAGCAGCUGGACUUGAGCUCUUGUGGGCUGACCGCUAGCGGCGGUGCACGCGUUGCUAGCUUGCUCAGCACGUCUAUGUCCCUUAAGGAAAUCAAUCUUAGCGACAACGCUCUCGACGACGAGGCCGCGGUGCGCCUCGCACAGAACAUCACGGAUGGCAUCACGAUUUCCGUCGUCGAUGUCUCCUGCAACAAGAUCGGCGAGGAGGGUGCCUCACAGCUCAUCGAUGCAGCGCUGCGGAAUGCGCAGCUUGUGGCGCUGGUGACGAACGGCAACAACAUCUCACGCGCUGCCCAGAAGAGGCUGGACAACUUGCUGGAGGAGCGAUUGGCCAAGAACCGCGUAGCAGGUCCGCAGACGGCACUCUGCCAACAACAAAAACUUCCCUAUCAGCAGCACGCUGCCCUUUCCGCCGCUGCACCGACGGCCGCCGCAUAAGAGAAGGGCAGUGUACAGCGUACAGAGAGGGAUCCGUUGCGGCGGUGAUGGCUCUCGCACCGCCUAGUUUCUCCCUACUCCUUCGCCUCCUCCUCCUGAGCGCAUAUGCCCCAACGGGUCAGACGACACGGAGUGUGACCGCGUCGGUUAUGUGCUGAGCCCAUGGCGUUGCGCGCUUCUUCGUGGCUGGCCUCGCUGAGCUCGAGGUGAGCGCUGCGUUUCAGUGACUGCCGCUGUGGGUUGCUGCCGAUGUACAUAACAUGGCUUUUGGUUUUCUUCUUCCUUCUGCGCCUCCGAGAAGGAACGCUAAAGCACGCGAAUGGGAGCGGGAUGCAUGGAUGGAAGACGAAAGGAGGGGGUAAUGGAUGGAUGGGUGCGGUGGUGGGGGGCACCCCAACAAUGGCAGGAGAGGGAGAGGAGGAGGAGAGGAGACCGAGUAUGCAUCCACGUGCCCCGCCCUCCCACGGAGUCUCUCUCCUGUCGGCGAGUCACGUUAAGGGCCGUCUAUCACGCGCCCCCCUCCCUUGUUGAUGUUCGCUCUGCUUGUCCUACUUUUUCUUUGCCCUGCUGUGGAACGUACACGAGCGUCUCUGUCCUUGUUGUUCGCGUGGGCGCCUGCCGACGCUGCGUAGCGAAUGCCAUGACGGUAUGGCUCACCAUGCUGCACGGUGCCCGCAUCUCUCUCUUUCCCCCCUUUUUCGCCCUGCGCUACCUCCGAGUGGCAUCUUGCUUGAGGCGGCACGGAAGAGAAGGGUGCUCGUAGCGCCUCCAUUCUUUUCCUCCUCCCAUCCAAUUUUCCCUCCUUCCUCCCCCUCCCUGCGCACAGCUCUCUCUCGUCCGCGGAGGCGCUCGGAGGUUAUGUGGCAUAGUUGCGAGCGCGUGUAUAUGUCAGGUGCGUGCACUUUUCCCAGAUUGCUCCCAUCCUCGCUCUCUAUGUCUACCCGCUCGCCGCCGCCUGAACAUGUCUGUCACGUGGACUGUUCUGCCCACGUACUCGUUCUGUGUGUGUGUGUGUGCCUCCGCCUAUGACGCUCUGGGCGCUUGCGCUUCCUC